RNAcentral lists this ribosomal RNA (253 nucleotides) under uncultured bacterium. RNAcentral's name for it is "partial 16S ribosomal RNA". It matches the Rfam family "Bacterial small subunit ribosomal RNA", at positions 524 to 776 of the family's 1533-position model. The record is from RNAcentral.
UACGUAGGGUCCGAGCGUUGUCCGGAAUUAUUGGGCGUAAAGAGCUCGUAGGCGGUCCGUUAAGUCGGAAGUGAAAUCUCAAGGCUCAACCUUGAAAUCGCUUUCGAUACUGGCGGACUUGAGGCAGGUAGGGGAAGGUGGAAUUCCUGGUGUAGCGGUGAAAUGCGCAGAUAUCAGGAGGAACACCGGUGGCGAAGGCGGGUCUCUGGGCCGAUACUGACGCUGAGGAGCGAAAGCGUGGGGAGCGAACAGG